GUGAAAUUCCGGGGCUUAACUCCGGGCGUGCAGGCGAUACGGGCAUAACUUGAGUACUGUAGGGGUAACUGGAAUUCCUGGUGUAGCGGUGAAAUGCGCAGAUAUCAGGAGGAACACCGAUGGCGAAGGCAGGUUACUGGGCAGUUACUGACGCUGAGGAGCGAAAGCAUGGGUAGCGAACAGGAUUAGAUACCCUGGUAGUCCAUGCCGUAAACGGUGGGCGCUAGGUGUGAGGGUCUUUUCACGACUUUCG
This 253-nucleotide ribosomal RNA is filed under the name uncultured actinomycete. Its description in RNAcentral is "partial 16S ribosomal RNA". It matches the Rfam family "Bacterial small subunit ribosomal RNA", at positions 594 to 843 of the family's 1533-position model. Lineage: Bacteria; Bacillati; Actinomycetota; Actinomycetes; Actinomycetales. The record is from RNAcentral.